UGUCGUAGCUGAAUUAGAGAUCGGCUAUUGAUGAAUAUAAACUUAACUACUUUUUAGGAGUAAAAAAUGUCUCUAAGCGUAGAAGCAAAAGCAAAAAUCGUUGCUGAAUUUGGUCGUGAUGCA
The sequence is a regulatory RNA element, 123 nucleotides long. It matches the Rfam family "Ribosomal S15 leader". From Rfam's summary of the family: The E. coli Ribosomal S15 gene 5' UTR can form two alternative structures. One that is a series of three hairpins, The other includes a pseudoknot. The record is from Rfam.